UAAAAUGACUCUUGACAAUGGAUAUCUUGGUCCUUAAUUCGAUGAAGAACAUUGUGAAAUGUGAUACUUAUUGUGAAUUGCCGAAUCUCGUGAAUCAUUAAGUUUUUGAACGUAAGUUAUGCUUUUUUCCUUUUAAUGGGUAUGGCAUAUUUGGUUGGGUGU
This 162-nucleotide ribosomal RNA is filed under the name Balanophora tobiracola. Its description in RNAcentral is "5.8S ribosomal RNA". It matches the Rfam family "5.8S ribosomal RNA". Rfam says of the family: 5.8S ribosomal RNA (5.8S rRNA) is a component of the large subunit of the eukaryotic ribosome. It is transcribed by RNA polymerase I as part of the 45S precursor that also contains 18S and 28S rRNA. Lineage: Eukaryota; Viridiplantae; Streptophyta; Magnoliopsida; Santalales; Balanophoraceae. The record is from RNAcentral.